GACGAACGCUGGCGGCGUGCUUAACACAUGCAAGUCGAACGGAAAGGCGCUGCUUUUGUGGGGUGGUCGGGUGGCGAACGGGUGAGGAACACGUGAGGAACCUGCCCUUGACUUUGCGAUAGCUUCACGGAACGAAGGCGAGGACAAUAUAGGAGCUCCUGCUGCAGUGGGGUGGUUGGAAAGGUUCAGCGGUUGGUGAUGUACGCGCGGCUUAUCAGCUUGUUGGUGGGGUAGGUGCGGAGCCAGGCUUUGACGGGUAGCCGGCCUGAGUGGGUGAGCGGCCACAUUGGGACUGAGAUACGGCCCAGAAUCCUAGGGGAGGCAGCAGUGGGGAAUAUUGCACAAUGGGCGGAAGCCUGAUGCAGCAACGCCGCGUGCGGGAUGACGGCCUUCGGGUUGUAAACCGCUUUCGCCUGGGACGAAGCGUGAGUGACGGUAAUGGGUAAAGAAGCACCGGCUAACUACGUG
Molecule: ribosomal RNA, 468 nt
Filed under: uncultured bacterium
Lineage: Bacteria
Description: partial 16S ribosomal RNA
Rfam family: Bacterial small subunit ribosomal RNA
Source: RNAcentral